GAUGAACGCUGGCGGCGUGCCUAAUACAUGCAAGUCGAGCGAACGGACGAGAAGCUUGCUUCUCUGAUGUUAGCGGCGGACGGGUGAGUAACACGUGGAUAACCUACCUAUAAGACUGGGAUAACUUCGGGAAACCGGAGCUAAUACCGGAUAAUAUUUUGAACCGCAUGGUUCAAAAGUGAAAGACGGUCUUGCUGUCACUUAUAGAUGGAUCCGCGCUGCAUUAGCUAGUUGGUAAGGUAACGGCUUACCAAGGCAACGAUGCAUAGCCGACCUGAGAGGGUGAUCGGCCACACUGGAACUGAGACACGGUCCAGACACCUACGGGAGGAAGCAGUAGGGAAUCUUACGCAAUGGGCGAAAGCCUGACGGAGCAACGCCGCGUGAGUGAUGAAGGUCUUCGGAUCGUAAAACUCUGUUAUUAGGGAAGAACAUAUGUGUAAGUAACUGUGCACAUCUUGACGGUACCUAAUCAGAAAGCCACGGCUAACUACGUG
Molecule: ribosomal RNA, 497 nt
Filed under: uncultured bacterium
Lineage: Bacteria
Description: partial 16S ribosomal RNA
Rfam family: Bacterial small subunit ribosomal RNA
Source: RNAcentral